Molecule: ribosomal RNA, 468 nt
Filed under: uncultured bacterium
Lineage: Bacteria
Description: partial 16S ribosomal RNA
Rfam family: Bacterial small subunit ribosomal RNA
Source: RNAcentral
GACGAACGCUGGCGGCGUGCUUAACACAUGCAAGUCGAACGGAAAGGCCCUGCUUUUGUGGGGUGCUCGAGUGGCGAACGGGUGAGUAACACGUGAGUAACCUGCCCUUGACUUUGGGAUAACUUCAGGAAACUGGGGCUAAUACCGGAUAGGAGCUCCUGCUGCAUGGUGGGGGUUGGAAAGUUUCGGCGGUUGGGGAUGGACUCGCGGCUUAUCAGCUUGUUGGUGGGAUAGUGGCUUACCAAGGCUUUGACGGGUAGCCGGCCUGAGAGGGUGACCGGCCACAUUGGGACUGAGAUACGGCCCAGACUCCUACGGGAGGCAGCAGUGGGGAAUAUUGCACAAUGGGCGGAAGCCUGAUGCAGCAACGCCGCGUGUGGGAUGACGGCCUUCGGGUUGUAAACCGCUUUCGCCUGUGACGAAGCGUGAGUGACGGUAAUGGGUAAAGAAGCACCGGCUAACUACGUG